GAUGAACGCUGGCGGCGUGCCUAAUACAUGCAAGUCGAGCGAACGGACGAUGAGCUUGCUUCUCUGAUGUUAGCGGCAGGCGGGUGAGUAACACGUGUAUAACCUACCUAUAAGACGGGUAUAACUUCGGGAAACCGGAGCUAAUACCGUAUAAUAUUUUGAACCGCAUUGUUCAAAGGUGAAAUACGGUCUUUCUGGCACGUAUAGAUGGAUCCGCGCUGCAUUAGCUAGUUGGUAAGGUAACGGCUUACCAAGGCAACGAUGCAUAGACGACCUGAGAGGGUGAUAGGCCACACUGGAACUGAGACACGGUCCAGACUACUAAGGGAGGGCGCAGUAGGGAAUCUUCCGCAAUAGGCGAAAGCCUGACGGAGCAACGGGGCGUGAGUGAUGACGGUCUCCGGAGCGUAAAACUCUGUUAUUAGGGAAGAACAUAUGUGUCAGUAAAUGUGCACAUCUUGACGGUAACUAGUCAGAAAGCCACGGCUAACUACGUG
This 497-nucleotide ribosomal RNA is filed under the name uncultured bacterium. RNAcentral's name for it is "partial 16S ribosomal RNA". It matches the Rfam family "Bacterial small subunit ribosomal RNA", at positions 28 to 507 of the family's 1533-position model. The record is from RNAcentral.